AAGUUAUGCUACCGGUGCCUGGAACCGGGGCAUGUGUGCGAGCGGUGCGAUAGCGCCAUCGACCGCAACGAGCUCUGCUACCGCUGCGGUUACCCCGGCCACCGCGCCAAAGGGUGCCAGGAGGCGGCUCGCUGCCCGGUCUGCGCCGAGGCGGGCAGGCCUUCCGAUCAUAAGAUCGGAGGGCCUGCCUGCAAGCCCUCCAACAGGAGGGGGAGGGGGGCGAAGACGCAGGGGAAAAGGAAGCUGCCAAUCGUGGUUGAGGGAAAGGAAGAGGGGGAUGCCUGACCCCCCCCCAGGAGGAACCCAAGCAGCCGGAGAAGGCCAGUCAGGCCUUCUCCACAACGAGGGAAGAGAGAAACUCUCCGGGAGACCAGGAGGAGAAGGACUCCUUGGCGUCCUGGGGGAUUCCCGACCGAGCGUCGACGCCGGUCCUAAUGGAGGUCGAGACGCUGCCCCAGAGGAAGAGGAGGGGGGACGAGCGAAGGAAGAAGGGGACCAGCGGAUCAUCGGGGAAUAAUAAAAAGGUGAACUAUUUCUGCAAUAUCGGCGGAUUCAAUUUGAAAGAAGCCGUAAAUUUGUGCCUGAAAGAAGGCUUGGCAGACUUUUUAGCGCCAUCUUUCACCUAGUGGGGCCGAAAUAAGGAACAACGAUCUUUUUAUAAAGCUCGGAUCGUUUUAGCUAUUUAUGAUGCUGUAUGCAAAAAUCGCAAUUUUCAGAGACCAACUCGCUCCGAAUUCCAAGCAUAUAUAUGAGAAGCUCUCCGGGCAGCGGAGGAGAGAUUUCGAAGCAGAUCCCGAAGUCCGCGAACGCAAGCGGCAGAGGAUAGAAGGAACUGCCGGAAUUUUUGGAACGACGAAACAGACCAUAUAGAAGCAAUGAACGAAU
Long non-coding RNA from Harpegnathos saltator (Jerdon's jumping ant), 885 nucleotides. RefSeq lists it as uncharacterized. The record is from RefSeq and is a predicted model, not a curated record. The transcript has 3 exons. NCBI's taxonomy places the organism in Eukaryota, Metazoa, Arthropoda, Insecta, Hymenoptera, Formicidae.